RNAcentral lists this long non-coding RNA (591 nucleotides) under Mus musculus (house mouse). The record is from RNAcentral. Lineage: Eukaryota; Metazoa; Chordata; Mammalia; Rodentia; Muridae.
GCUGUGAAGCAACCCAACCUGUCAAAUGAGGCGACUGGGAAAGAAAUGCCAACCCAGGCAGAAUGCAACUGACUGGCAGAGCUGCCAUGCGAAUUGAGUGGAGACAGUGGCAGGCAAUGAUGGACAGCCCAGUGGGUGGGGAAGCAGACGUUGGCAGGCCAUGAUGGACACCCGAGUGUGAAAGCACAGUGGCAGCAGCAACCAGAAGACUGCAGUGAAUGAAGAACCCUCACCCCAAGCAGCUCCCCGGAAAAGCUGGCUCCAGCCCUAGAGACCUACCAGAGACAGAAGACCAGGAGCACAGAGCAUGUCCCCCAUGUCCUCUGGAAAGUGCAUCUCUGACCCUUCAUCCAAGAAGCUCCUUUGAGAUCAUUACAGAAAGAUACAAGAAGUCAAAUGCAGAGAUCAACUGAAUUCAUGUGUCCCCAGUAAAUACACUUAAAAAACAACCUCUGUACUUAAGGCUCAGGGAACAUCACAGGGAUAUUGUGAGAGCCAGAGGACCAAAACAGCUCUCUUCUAAAAGGAAAGGGGGCGGGGGAAGGGGGGAGGAAACUACUUUGAGAUUUCAUCUUACCCCAGCCAGAAUGG